This 247-nucleotide ribosomal RNA is filed under the name uncultured Mycobacterium sp. RNAcentral describes it as "partial 16S ribosomal RNA". It matches the Rfam family "Bacterial small subunit ribosomal RNA", at positions 527 to 773 of the family's 1533-position model. The record is from RNAcentral. Lineage: Bacteria; Bacillati; Actinomycetota; Actinomycetes; Mycobacteriales; Mycobacteriaceae.
GUAGGGUGCGAGCGUUGUCCGGAAUUACUGGGCGUAAAGAGCUCGUAGGUGGUUUGUCGCGUUGUUCGUGAAAACUCACAGCUUAACUGUGGGCGUGCGGGCGAUACGGGCAGACUAGAGUACUGCAGGGGAGACUGGAAUUCCUGGUGUAGCGGUGGAAUGCGCAGAUAUCAGGAGGAACACCGGUGGCGAAGGCGGGUCUCUGGGCAGUAACUGACGCUGAGGAGCGAAAGCGUGGGGAGCGAAC